GCUCGUCUGACUUAUUCUGGAGAAGAUAUUCAGGAUGUUAUUAGAGCUUGGUGCAAGGCUGUGUAAGAAGACGAUUAGAGCUGCGCAGUCUUCUGUGGAGUUAUAUUUAGAAAUUCUCCAGGAGUAUAUUACUGACUGCAAUCAAUAAGCAGGAUGACCAAUAAGCCAGCAACAUUUAAAGAGGACACUGCAUCAACAGACUCUGCAGUCAGCCAGGGAUUACUUGUUCAGUUGUGUACCUCAGUGUGCAAACAAAAAUCUUUGCUAAAAAACAUGCUUGACAUGAAGUUCAGUCAGCAGAGUACGUCAAAUAGCACUGCUCACCCAGAAAAUGAAUCAAUGCAAAACAUCAUUUGAAAAAACACGUCUAAUGCAAGUGCAACACAGAGAGGGAAACACCGGAUACCCACUAGCUCACUGAACGCAGCGUGAUUUUGAUGCUCCAUUCAGCAGCUGUGCUGGGAAAGGGAGAAGCCAUCCAGCAGAUGAGAAGCAAGGGGACAAGGGGCAGUCCACAUGCAUGUCCUACUCCUGCGUGACAGCCCUCUUGAAUUUAGAGGCAGCAGAUUCCCAUCAAUGAUGAUAAUCUGUGACUGCAUUGAAGAACCACUAGGGUCAUUGCAGAGGCAGGCUGGCCUUGAGGGAUGGAGGGAAACCUUAUCUUAAAUUUUUGACCUGAGAGUGAGCAAAAGCUUUCCAUCCCCUUGGGGAGCUGCCAGGCCCUUCCAUGCCACCUCCAGCUUCCCAGAGCACAUCGUGUCUGCCGGUCAAGACUAUCCUCGUGCCACAUUCCCCCUCCUCAAGAUCUGCAGACAAGAAGCUCUUCAUAUGACAGCUGUGGUGGACCUCCCUGGGGCUGUGCCAGGCUGGCUCGACCAGCGCCAGUGUGGCUGAGAUGGAGAAGAGGCAGACUUCCCAAUGAGGGCAAGAAAGAAAUCCUGCCUGGCGAGGAACUUCAGCGACGAGGGCUUUCAACAGGAGAUGCUCUGUGGUGAUCAUCCUGCUCAACACUCGCAGAGACCAGGCACCGACACCAGAACCGCGCCGGGGCUGUCCUGCAAGCGCUGGUGGCAUCACCUCACAGCUGGGGCUGCAGCCUCCCUCCAGGAUCGUGCCACACCAGCAGUUACAGGUUCAGCGCUGCAGCUGCCCUGCAGAAGUUGGUGGGACUCGAGAGCGGUCACUGAAGUUUUGUGGAAAUGUUCGGUGGAGAUUUUUGUGGCAGGUGUGAAAGCGAGCUGCCUUGCAGCUAAGCUGGUGCAGCCUAGAGAAAACAACUGGGAGGUGUCAUCUCUGGGAGCAGAGAGAGCAGCAAAUGGGCUGUGUGAAGGACAGAGAAAAAAGAAAGAAAGACCUCUUGCAAAUGAGGUGCCAACAGAAAAUGUACUUUGGCAGCUGGAAAGGUGUAAUGAAAGCCUAGGCAAAAUAUAG
This 1431-nucleotide long non-coding RNA is filed under the name Anser brachyrhynchus (Pink-footed goose). RNAcentral describes it as "lncRNA (ENSABRG00000002817.1)". The record is from RNAcentral. Lineage: Eukaryota; Metazoa; Chordata; Aves; Anseriformes; Anatidae.